UGGCGAACGGGUGAGUAACACGUGGGUGAUCUGCCUUGCACUUCGGGAUAAGCUUGGGAAACUGGGUCUAAUACCGGAUAGGACAGCUGUUUAGUGUCAGUUGUGGAAAGUUUUUUCGGUGCAAGAUGAGCUCGCGGCCUAUCAGCUUGUUGGUGGGGUAAUGGCCUACCAAGGCGUCGACGGGUAGCCGGCCUGAGAAGGUGGACGGCCACAUUGGGACUGAGAUACGGCCCAG
This 235-nucleotide ribosomal RNA is filed under the name uncultured Actinomycetales bacterium. RNAcentral describes it as "partial 16S ribosomal RNA". It matches the Rfam family "Bacterial small subunit ribosomal RNA", at positions 96 to 334 of the family's 1533-position model. The record is from RNAcentral. Lineage: Bacteria; Bacillati; Actinomycetota; Actinomycetes; Actinomycetales.